RNAcentral lists this transfer RNA (87 nucleotides) under Candidatus Kerfeldbacteria bacterium. RNAcentral describes it as "tRNA-Ser". It matches the Rfam family "tRNA". Rfam says of the family: Transfer RNA (tRNA) molecules are approximately 80 nucleotides in length. Their secondary structure includes four short double-helical elements and three loops (D, anti-codon, and T loops). Lineage: Bacteria; Candidatus Kerfeldiibacteriota. The record is from RNAcentral.
GGAGGGGUGCCUGAGUGGUUGAAAGGGCUGGUCUCGAAAACCAGUAUGCCCGCAAGGGUAUCGCGAGUUCGAAUCUCGCCCCCUCCG